UACGAAGGGUGCAAGCGUUACUCGGAAUCACUGGGCGUAAAGUGUGCGUAGGCGGUUUCUUAAGUCUGUCGUGAAAGCCCUGGGCUCAACCUGGGAAUGGCGAUGGAUACUGGGAGGCUAGAGUGUGAUAGAGGAUGGUGGAAUUCCCGGUGUAGCGGUGAAAUGCGUAGAGAUCGGGAGGAACACCAGUGGCGAAGGCGGCCAUCUGGAUCAACAC
RNAcentral lists this ribosomal RNA (217 nucleotides) under uncultured prokaryote. RNAcentral's name for it is "partial 16S ribosomal RNA". It matches the Rfam family "Bacterial small subunit ribosomal RNA", at positions 524 to 740 of the family's 1533-position model. The record is from RNAcentral.